This 445-nucleotide ribosomal RNA is filed under the name uncultured bacterium. Its description in RNAcentral is "bacterial SSU rRNA". It matches the Rfam family "Bacterial small subunit ribosomal RNA", at positions 354 to 796 of the family's 1533-position model. The record is from RNAcentral.
GUAAGGAAUAUUGGUCAAUGGGCGGAAGCCUGAACCAGCCAUGCCGCGUGCAGGACGACUGCCCUAUGGGUUGUAAACUGCUUUUGUACGGGAAUAACCCCCCGCUCGUGAGCGGGGCUGAAUGUACCGUAAGAAUAAGGAUCGGCUAACUCCGUGCCAGCAGCCGCGGUAAUACGGAGGAUCCGAGCGUUAUCCGGAUUUAUUGGGUUUAAAGGGUGCGUAGGUGGCCGUUUAAGUCAGGGGUGAAAGACGGCAGCUCAACUGUCGCAGUGCCUUUGAUACUGAUCGGCUUGAAUGGCGUUGAAGAUGGCGGAAUGAGACAAGUAGCGGUGAAAUGCAUAGAUAUGUCUCAGAACACCGAUUGCGAAGGCAGCUGUCUAAGCGUUGAUUGACACUGAUGCACGAAAGCGUGGGGAUCGAACAGGAUUAGAAACCCCAGUAGUCC